This 2878-nucleotide small RNA is filed under the name Pongo abelii (Sumatran orangutan). Its description in RNAcentral is "retained intron". The record is from RNAcentral. Lineage: Eukaryota; Metazoa; Chordata; Mammalia; Primates; Hominidae.
CAGCCUGCUUGUCCCUGCAGGGCUGGGGUGGGGCCGGCACUCUCGGGCCCCAGCUGUGAACGUGAGGGGUCUGCCCCACGGGUUGCGGGGCUGGGGGCCUUGCUCAGGUCAGGAAGUGGCUGUGGUGAACAGAGGGUCUCGUCUGAGCGUGUGGCCCGUGGGCCGUGUGGCAGCCUCACACAAGGACCUCACCCCAGCCUGUGCUCCAGGAAAGUACAGAGGGUAGCAGGGCCCCUGGGGUGGGCACUGAGGGGGCGGGUUCCAUCCCCCUAGGACUUCUCCUACGAUGAGUCCAAAGUGGAGUUUGACGUGGACGCGCCCAGUGGGGUGGUGAUGGAGGGCUACCUCUUCAAGAGGGCCAGCAACGCUUUCAAGACCUGGAACCGGCGCUGGUUCUCCAUUCAGAACAGCCAGCUGGUCUACCAGAAGAAGCUCAAGGAUGCCCUCACCGUGGUGGUGGACGACCUCCGCCUGUGCUCUGUGAAGCCGUGUGAGGACAUCGAGCGGAGGUUCUGCUUCGAGGUGCUGUCACCCACCAAGUGAGGAGGCCCAGCCCAGGGUGGGGCGGGGGGCGUACCUGCCCACCGGAGCUGACGCCCACCCCUCCACUGCCUGCAGGAGCUGCAUGCUACAGGCAGACUCCGAGAAGCUGCGGCAGGCCUGGGUCCAAGCUGUGCAGGCCAGCAUCGCCUCCGCCUACCGCGAGAGCCCCGACAGUUGCUAUAGCGAGAGGCUGGACCGCACAGCAUCCCCGUCCACGAGCAGCAUCGACUCCACCACCGACACUCGGGAGCGCGGCGUGAAGGGCGAGAGUGUGCUGCAGCGUGUGCAGAAUGUGGCCGGCAACAGCCAGUGUGGCGACUGCGGCCAGCCGGACCCCCGCUGGGCCAGCAUCAACCUGGGCGUGCUGCUCUGCAUCGAGUGCUCCGGCAUCCACAGGAGCCUGGGUGUCCACUGCUCCAAGGUCCGGUCCCUGACGCUGGACUCGUGGGAGCCAGAGCUGCUAAAGCUGAUGUGUGAGCUUGGAAACAGCGCUGUGAAUCAGAUCUAUGAGGCCCAGUGUGAGGGUCCAGGCAGCAGGAAACCCACAGCCAGCAGCUCCCGGUGAGGUGGGGUACAGUCUGUAUCAGUCAGGGAGCCCCAGCCUGGGGGCACAGCCUCAUGUUCAUCCCUGGUCCAGGCAGGACAAGGAGGCUUGGAUCAAGGACAAAUACGUGGAAAAGAAAUUUCUGCGGAAGGCGACCAUGGCACCAGCCCUGGAGGCCCCAAGACGCUGGAGGGUGCAGAAGUGCCCGCGGCCCCACAGCUCUCCCCGCGCUCCCACUGCCCGCCGCAAGGUCCGGCUUGAGCCCGUUCUGCCCUGUGUGGCCACUCUGUCCUCAGUGGGCACCCUGGAUCGUAAAUUCCGUCGAGACUCCCUCUUCUGCCCCGACGAGCUGGACUCGCUCUUCUCCUACUUUGACGCAGGGGCCGCGGGGGCUGGCCCUCGCAGUCUGAGUAGCGACAGUGGCCUUGGGGGCAGCUCGGAUGGCAGCUCGGACGUCCUGGCUUUCGGCUCGGGCUCUGUGGUGGACAGCGUCACUGAGGAGGAGGGUGCGGAGUCGGAGGAGUCCAGCGGUGAGGCAGACGGGGACGCUGAGGCCGAGGCCUGGGGCCUGGCGGACGUGCGCGAGCUGCACCCGGGGCUCUUGGCGCACCGCGCAGCGCGUGCCCGCGACCUUCCUGCGCUGGCGGCGGCGCUGGCCCACGGGGCCGAGGUCAACUGGGCGGACGCGGAGGAUGAGGGCAAGACGCCGCUGGUGCAGGCCGUGCUAGGGGGCUCCUUGAUCGUCUGUGAGUUCCUGCUGCAAAACGGAGCGGACGUGAACCAAAGAGACAGUCGGGGCCGGGCGCCCCUGCACCACGCCACGCUGCUGGGCCGCACCGGCCAGGUUUGCCUGUUCCUGAAGCGGGGCGCGGACCAGCACGCCCUGGACCAAGAGCAGCGGGACCCGUUGGCCAUCGCAGUGCAGGCGGCCAACGCUGACAUCGUGACACUGCUCCGUUUGGCGCGCAUGGCGGAGGAGAUGCGCGAGGCCGAGGCUGCCCCAGGUCCCCCGGGCGCCCUGGGGGGCAGCAGCCCCACGGAGCUCCAGUUCCGCAGGUGCAUCCAGGAGUUCAUCAGCCUCCACCUGGAAGAGAGCUAGGGCCGGGCAGGCCGGGCAGCUGCCACCCCGCCCGGCCCGCCGCCCCGCAUGCCCCGAAGUCCCUGGUGCCCACCCGGCCGCGGCCCUGCCUGUGACCCGGGUCGAUGCCCGGCAGCCCCAGUGCCGGGGCGCCGCGGCCCCGCUCACCCAGGAGGAGAGCGAGGGCCCCGCACUGAGUCUCUUGAAGCCUCACGUUUCCCUAGGGGGGUGCUGCAUCGUCGGGUGCCCCUCACCCCACCUGGGGAACCUCUGUCUUCAGGUCACCCCUCUUCAGGAGCCUGGGUUGCUCAUGUCACAAGCCACUCUCAAGGCCCAUGUCACCUGUGUCCCUCUGUCCUCAGGGCCUGUGUUGUUUCGUGCCGCACUUCUGCUCAGAACACUGACCUGUUAGCUGGGUCCCUCCUGCACACCCCACAGCCUCCCCCCAGGGCAGAAAGGGUGGCCCAUCCAGGGAACCAACGAGUACCUCACUUAGUGACCCCAGCAUCCAGGCUGGCGUCGCGGGUGCUGGGCGGGAGGGGCUCUGGCCUGGGUCCUCAGCCCUGGCUGGACGCGGGCGUCCCAAGGCCACGUGGCUGGCCACGAAGGUCCCCGUGCCAGACAGCCCCAGCCUCGUCCCAGCCUCCUCCGGAGGCACCUUCUCCUGGUACUCGGCCCAGAGCCUGUGCAUAAAGCCACUUUGCCACUUUGCA